UAGGAUAGGAAUUUGGGCAAGGUAAA
RNAcentral lists this non-coding RNA (26 nucleotides) under Homo sapiens (human). Lineage: Eukaryota; Metazoa; Chordata; Mammalia; Primates; Hominidae. The record is from RNAcentral.